This 321-nucleotide ribosomal RNA is filed under the name uncultured Pseudomonadota bacterium. RNAcentral describes it as "bacterial SSU rRNA". It matches the Rfam family "Bacterial small subunit ribosomal RNA", at positions 30 to 351 of the family's 1533-position model. Lineage: Bacteria; Pseudomonadati; Pseudomonadota. The record is from RNAcentral.
AUUGAACGCUGGCGGCAGGCCUAACACAUGCAAGUCGAGCGGUAGAGAGAAGCUUGCUUCUCUUGAGAGCGGCGGACGGGUGAGUAAUGCCUAGGAAUCUGCCUGGUAGUGGGGGACAACGUGGGGAAACCCACGCUAAUACCGCAUACGCCCUACGGGGGAAAGGAGGGGAUCUUCGGACCUUUCGCUAUGAGAUGAGCCUGCGUUAGAUUAGCUAGUUGGUAGGGUAAAGGCCUACCAAGGCAACGAUCGGUAGCCGGCCUGAGAGGGCGGACGGCCACACUGGGACUGAGACACGGCCCAGACUCCUACGGGAGGCAG